This 2227-nucleotide long non-coding RNA is filed under the name Equus asinus (donkey). Its description in RNAcentral is "lncRNA (ENSEASG00005032431.1)". The record is from RNAcentral. Lineage: Eukaryota; Metazoa; Chordata; Mammalia; Perissodactyla; Equidae.
GCUGGUACAUGCUGCGUUAGCAGGGAGCAGUGCCCAGCUGCAAGCCAGGCCGGUGGCGUGCUGACCAUCACUGCCCUGAUCUGGGCACAUCAGAGCAAGGGGCCCCCAUCCGGGGAGCCCAGCCUUGGGCGAGACCAAGCAGGAGUCCUGGGUCCCCUCCCAGGUAACUGGAAUAUGUUGAAGGUAGACCUACAAGAAACCAGGACACAAGAGCAGCCCCCAGGGGUCGGUGGGGAGUCCCCCCAACUAGGGUGGGUGAACAGCCCUCUCCUUCGAUAAGGACAGUCACACUGAAUCCUCUGCCCCAAACAACAGAUGCACACACGUGUCCCAGAGGAGCAGAUGCGCAGACCUUGCAGGAAGGAGAGACGACCUCCUUACCCCUGAGGGUCAGACACAGACAUAAAGCCCCACGCUCACUCCAACUUGGUCAGAGAGACAAACCUAUGGACCUUCCUGGAGAAAGAGACAGCACCCUCCGUACCACGCAAGGACAGAUUCCCACAUCCCCCAGGAGAACAGGCACAGGCGCCUCUUUCUCACGCUCUCUGCCACUCUCUCGUCCGCCCAGCCAUUUCCUCUGCCUCAGAGGAGGGGGGCUGGGAGUGACAACCCAGAAAGGGUGGGAGGCGAAGGAGCCCCUGCCCAGGAUCCCAGGGGGCAGAUGUCAGAAGGCGACAGCUGGUCCUCCUCACCCCUGCGGCCUGGCCAGGCUGGAGGGUCAGCAGGCAGGGAGCUGGCUCCCCAGCCAGGCUGAAGACCGUCAGGAGCCCCCAGCCUGACGUCAGUCCCACUCAUUGUUGUUGCUCUGGCUUGAGUCACUCCCUGUGACGCCACCGGGGUCAGCUCUGGAGAGGCUGGGGGUGGCCUGCAGGGCCAGCCUCAGGGCUCAGCUCUCCUGGGGCACACACUAGGAUGGGGUGGGGCCAUCUGAGACCACACUCACCAUUGCAAAGCCAGCUGCCUACUCCCAAGUCUUGGGUUGGCCUUCGAUGUCCCUCCACAGGCCUGCGCUGCAGGCGUGGCUGGGAGGGCCUCAGCCGGUAGCCUGUCUGCCUGGCUGGCCUUGGCCUGGGCUCUCACUGAGAAGUCUGCUCUCUGUCCUUGCCUCUCCUCCCUCAGAACCCUCUGUUUCCACCCACAGCCCUCUGUAGGACCUCUCCCCCGAGCUCUUUUCCUUCCGCUUCCCCAGGAAACCUCCCCAGAAGAACUCCCCCCAGUCCCACUUUUCCUGGAAUCACUACCUGCUUCCCGCCCAGCUCCUCACGCGCUCUCCUGUGUCUCUGCCGCCGUCUCACUUUGUUUUGUGGUGCCCAGUCACCUCCCAACCUGCUGGGAGCAGGGCCUGGGACUCCUCUGCACUCUGAGUGUGUCACUUUCUAUUCCAGGCCCAGGCCUCUCUCUGGGAUGACAGCAGUGGCCUCCAUCCUGGCCCUCUCUGGCUUCUGCAAAACCUGCUGCCCUUUCCCACACAAUCUGUCGUGUUUUCUGGCCCAGGUGUAUCUCCCGGGCCGUCUCCCCCAUGAGGCUCUGGAGGAGCCAAGACUCCUCCGAGUCUUGUGACUUGUCCACCUUGGUAUGCCACAGGCCGGGUACGUGGACAGUUACAUACAUGUGGCCUGAAUGAAUGAAUGAAUGAAUGAUUACAUCUUGAUCAUCAGGGGAAGUGGCAUAGGCUGAGAGAAUUCAUUCCACACAGUCUCACGCUUUUGGCCAAGACCCUCUCUCCCUGACAGGACCACCCGGAUGGGCAUGGAACUCAGGGUCUGAGGUGCAAUGAGCACCACUCUGUGAGGACUCAGAGAGGUAAGAGGAGGCAAGGACUGGCCAGCAUCUGGGCCUGAGAUGGGAGAGGUGAGGGGUCAGCCUCCCUCUCAGGCAGGAGAGCCUCCAUGGAGAGGGCGAGCUUUGGAGUAGGGACGAGAGUGGGUAAAAAGGCUGGGGGAGUGAAGAGAGUAGCUGUGUGGCCUUGUAGUCAUCAGGUUCUCUGGAGAAACAGAACCAACAGGAUGUGUAUACAUUGAAAGAGACUUAUUAGGAAGAAUUGGCUCACGUGGUUAUGGAGGCUGACGAGUCUCAAAAUCUGCAGUCAGCAAGCUGGAGACCCAGGAAAGCCAAUGGUGUAGUUUCCAUCCAAGUAGUUCCAAAUGUGCCAGGCUUGAGACCCAAAAACAGAUUCUUCAGUUUGAGUCUGAAGGUGGGAGAAAACCCAUGUCCCAACUUGAAC